RNAcentral lists this ribosomal RNA (433 nucleotides) under uncultured bacterium. RNAcentral's name for it is "bacterial SSU rRNA". It matches the Rfam family "Bacterial small subunit ribosomal RNA", at positions 29 to 507 of the family's 1533-position model. The record is from RNAcentral.
AACGAACGCUGGCGGCAGGCCUAACACAUGCAAGUCGAGCGAGCAUUUCGGUGCUAGCGGCGGACGGGUUAGUAACGCGUGGGAACGUGCCCUUUGCUACGGAAUAGUCCUGGGAAACUGGGGGUAAUACCGUAUGUGCCCUUCGGGGGAAAGAUUUAUCGGCAAAGGAUCGGCCCGCGUUGGAUUAGGUAGUUGGUGGGGUAAUGGCCUACCAAGCCGACGAUCCAUAGCUGGUUUGAGAGGAUGAUCAGCAACACUGGGACUGAGACACGGCCCAGACUCCUACGGGAGGCAGCAGUGGGGAAUCAUAGACAAUGGGCGCAAGCCUGAUCUAGCCAUGCCGCGUGGACGAUGAAGGCCUUAGGGUUGUAAAGUCCUUUCAGCUGGGAAGAUAAUGACGGUACCAGCAGAAGAAGCCCCGGCUAACUCCGUG